AACGAACGCUGGCGGCAGGCCUAACACAUGCAAGUCGAACGCCCCGCAAGGGGAGUGGCAGACGGGUGAGUAACACGUGGGAACCUUCCCUAUAGUACGGAAUAGCCCAGGGAAACUUGGAGUAAUACCGUAUACGCCCGAAAGGGGAAAGAAUUUCGCUAUAGGAUGGGCCCGCGUAGGAUUAGCUAGUUGGUGAGGUAAUGGCUCACCAAGGCGACGAUCCUUAGCUGGUUUGAGAGAACGACCAGCCACACUGGGACUGAGACACGGCCCAGACUCCUACGGGAGGCAGCAGUGGGGAAUAUUGGACAAUGGGCGCAAGCCUGAUCCAGCCAUGCCGCGUGAGGGAUAGGCCUUAGGGUUGUAAAGCUCUUUUGGCGGGGACGAUAAUGACGGUACCCGCAGAAUAAGUCCCGGCUAACUUCGUG
Molecule: ribosomal RNA, 428 nt
Filed under: uncultured bacterium
Lineage: Bacteria
Description: partial 16S ribosomal RNA
Rfam family: Bacterial small subunit ribosomal RNA
Source: RNAcentral